CGGGCGGGCAGGAUUUCGUUGCCAAAAUUUGGUGAUUGGCCUUUUCCUUUGGACAGGCUGAUGCGUUUUGAUGGAGACACGGUUUCCUCUUGGUUCAUGCGAUUAAUACGGCAGUAUAAUUCUAUGUUCUGUUUUACGUCGUUGGGUGCACAAGUUGACCACACUAUCAAUGUUGGAGGUGCUCCAUACGUUUUCAAGAUGAACGGGGUUGUCUAUCAUCGUAUUGGUUCAUUGCUGCCGGCUGAGGGUGCAACUCCCAAGUUCGCGCAAUUGUACAUGGUAGACUCUGCUGACGAGUUGGACUGCAGGUUGAAUGUGUUUGACAGAGAAGAAACUUCU
RNAcentral lists this ribosomal RNA (339 nucleotides) under Triticum aestivum (bread wheat). RNAcentral's name for it is "partial small subunit ribosomal RNA". The record is from RNAcentral. Lineage: Eukaryota; Viridiplantae; Streptophyta; Magnoliopsida; Poales; Poaceae.